RNAcentral lists this long non-coding RNA (1357 nucleotides) under Scleropages formosus (Asian bonytongue). Its description in RNAcentral is "lncRNA (ENSSFOG00015030380.1)". Lineage: Eukaryota; Metazoa; Chordata; Actinopteri; Osteoglossiformes; Osteoglossidae. The record is from RNAcentral.
AGAAUUAGCAAGACAACAGGCCCUGUCACGAGGGCAAUCGAGCGCUUCGACUCCUUGGCGCACGUGGCCUCGGCGCAAACCCGUCACGCUCGCACUCUUUGUAUCACGUGCGUCUUCUUGCCCGCCAUCGGCUCGGGUUCGAGAGCAGCGGGCGUCCCUCCGGGACCCCUCGCUGGGGGAUGGCGCUCCGAAACGGUGAGCCGCAGUCAUCGUGCAGACAUGCUCUCCGCCGCCCCUUAUUUGGCCGUCCCGCCGCUCGUUCCCGUGGCCAGACGCCCCCGUUUGGGUCUCCCCCGGGGGGUAUAGCGUUCCCCCUCGCUGCCCCUACUUAAGGAGUCAAGCCGAGAGCGCGGCCAGUCGAGCGCCGGACCGAGGGCUCCGCGUGCCCGCAUGCCGAGGCGGAGAGCCAUGUUGCCCGAGACGGCUCAGUACACGGCCACCUACAUCUUGAGCAGGCCCCGGUCCAUAGCGUACGAGCCGCUCUACAGCAGCCGCUACCUGACCCCCGUCCUGGAGACGUUCCGCACCCCCCAUCGGGGCAAAGGCGACUACUGGAUGAGUCCACAGAGGUACCACCUGGCGGGGUCCUGCUGGCGCUCCCCGAAACGUCACCUGCUCGUCUUCCCGGGGAACACGGGAUUCUCCGACGUGCCGUCGAGUCACCUGGCGGGACACUGCAGCCUGCGCACGAGCCUCACGUGGAAGUACCGCUGGCAGAAGCUCCGGGAGCAGGUGGGCCGACUCUACCAUUAGGAUGAUACAUAAAGGGCGAGGCCUGAGGUCCGGACUGGUGUCGGAACGACACGAGGAUGGGGAUGAAGAUGAUGAUGAAGAUGAAGAUGAGGAUGAGGAAGGUGGAGCUGAGCUCCAGUGGCCCUGUGUAUCGUCUGGUUUUGUUUCACUCUGUACACCUGCUGUACGCGUCUCUUGUUUACUCUGCACACGGAGGUAUAAACAUGCCUGAUGGCUCAAGACCACUAUCGGUUUGUGUGCGUGUGAGUCUCCUCCACCACUUUCACUUUCUCUCUCAGUCCUUCUUUCCCUCCAGCUGAUCACAGGGGUUUCUGGGGAAUUUUGCUCUCAGCGCGCACACGCACGCACACACGCACGCACGCACACCCGCACUGCUGGGAAACACACAGCUCCUCCACCGUCCAGAGGGACACACACCAGGGAGUUUUUGCGUGACGCCGGAACCCGCAGAACUUUCUGACUGAACUCAUGGGAAUCCCGCUCUCAUUUGCAUACUCAGUUAGCACUGCUGACACAAAGUGCUGCAUGGUAAAACAAGGUUUAAGAAACGCUGUAAAACACAGUUAUAUGAAAUCUUUUGCACCCGCCCCCCCUCCCAUUGUGU